GGCUAACUACGUGCCAGCAGCCGCGGUAAUACGUAGGUCCCGAGCGUUAUCCGGAAUUAUUGGGCGUAAAGGGCACGUAGGCGGACAAAUAAGUUUGAUGUCAAAUAUGAUGGCUCAACCAUCAAGAGGCGUUGAAAACUGUUUAUCUAGAAUCUCGGAGAGGUAAGUGGAAUUCCAUGUGUAGCGGUGGAAUGCGUAGAUAUAUGGAGGAACACCAAUGGCGAAGGCAGCUUACUGGACGAAGAUUGACGCUGAGGUGCGAAAGCGUGGGUAGCAAACAGGAUUAGAUACCCUGGUAG
This 299-nucleotide ribosomal RNA is filed under the name uncultured bacterium. RNAcentral describes it as "partial 16S ribosomal RNA". It matches the Rfam family "Bacterial small subunit ribosomal RNA", at positions 495 to 793 of the family's 1533-position model. The record is from RNAcentral.